GACGAACGCUGGCGGCGUGCUUAACACAUGCAAGUCGAACGGAAAGGCCCUGCUUUUGUGGGGUUCUCGAUUGGCGAACGGGUGAGUAACACGUGUGUAACCUGCCCUUGACUUUGGGAUAACUUCAGGAAACUGGGGCUAAUACCGGAUAGGAGAUCCUGCUGCAUGGGGGGGGUUGGAAAGUGUCGGCUGUUGUGUAUGGAAUCGCGGCUUAUCAGCUUGUUGGUGGGGUAGGUGCUUACCAAGGCUGUGACGGGUAGCCGGCCUGGGAGGGUGGACGGCGACCUUGGGACUGAGGUAGGCAGCAGACUGGUACGUUCGGCAGCAGUGGGGAAUAUUGCACAAUGGGCGGAAGCCUGAUGCAGCAACGUCGCGUGCGGGAUGCCGGCCUUCGGGUUGUAAACCGCUUUCGCCGGUGACGAAGCGUGAGUGACGGUAAUGGGUAAAGAAGCACCGGCUAACUACGUG
This 468-nucleotide ribosomal RNA is filed under the name uncultured bacterium. Its description in RNAcentral is "partial 16S ribosomal RNA". It matches the Rfam family "Bacterial small subunit ribosomal RNA", at positions 28 to 507 of the family's 1533-position model. The record is from RNAcentral.